GACGAACGCUGGCGGCGUGCUUAACACAUGCAAGUCGAACGGAAAGGCCCUGCUUUUGUGGGGUGCUCGAGUGGCGAACGGGUGAGUAACACGUGAGUAACCUGCCCUUGACUUUGGGAUAACUUCAGGAAACUGGGGCUAAUACCGGAUAGGAGCUCCUGCUGCAUGGGGGGGGUUGGAAAGUUUCGGCGGUUGGGGCUGGACUCGCGGCUUAUCAGCUGGUUGGUGGGGUAGUGGCUUACCAAGGCUUUGACGGGUAGCCGGCCUGAGAGGGUGACCGGCCACAUUGGGACUGAGAUACGGCCCAGACUCCUACGGGAGGCAGCAGUGGGGAAUAUUGCACAAUGGGCGGAAGCCUGAUGCAGCAACGCCGCGUGCGGGAUGACGGCCUUCGGGUUGUAAACCGCUUUCGCCUGUGACGAAGCGUGAGUGACGGUAAUGGGUAAAGAAGCACCGGCUAACUACGUG
RNAcentral lists this ribosomal RNA (468 nucleotides) under uncultured bacterium. RNAcentral's name for it is "partial 16S ribosomal RNA". It matches the Rfam family "Bacterial small subunit ribosomal RNA", at positions 28 to 507 of the family's 1533-position model. The record is from RNAcentral.